CCUACGGGAGGCAGCAGUGGGGAAUUGUUCGCAAUGGGCGCAAGCCUGACGACGCAACGCCGCGUGGAGGAUGAAGACCUUCGGGUCGUAAACUCCUUUCGAUCGAGACGAAUGUUUUCCGGGUGAACAAUCCGGAAAAGUGACGGUACCGAGAGAAGAAGCCCCGGCUAACUCUGUGCCAGCAGCCGCGGUAAUACAGGGGGGGCAAGCGUUGUUCGGAAUUACUGGGCGUAAAGGGCUUGUAGGUGGCCAACUAAGUCAGACGUGAAAUCCCUCAGCUUAACUGGGGAACUGCGUCUGAUACUGGAUGGCUUGAGUUUGGGAGAGGGAUGCGGAAUUCCAGGUGUAGCGGUGAAAUGCGUAGAUAUCUGGAGGAACACCGGUGGCGAAGGCGGCAUCCUGGACCAACACUGACACUGAGGAGCGAAAGCCAGGGGAGCAAACGGGAUUAGAUACCCCGGUAGUCCUGGCCCUAAACGAUGAAUGCUUGGUGUGGCGGGUAUCGAUCCCUGCCGUGCCGAAGCUAACGCAUUAAGCAUUCCGCCUGGGGAUCGGUCGCAAGGCUGAAACUCAAAGAGAGUGCGNGNGAGAGACGAGACGACGACGAGGGAGAGG
RNAcentral lists this ribosomal RNA (615 nucleotides) under uncultured bacterium. RNAcentral's name for it is "bacterial SSU rRNA". It matches the Rfam family "Bacterial small subunit ribosomal RNA", at positions 338 to 944 of the family's 1533-position model. The record is from RNAcentral.